This 251-nucleotide long non-coding RNA is filed under the name Callithrix jacchus (white-tufted-ear marmoset). Its description in RNAcentral is "lncRNA (ENSCJAG00000081516.1)". Lineage: Eukaryota; Metazoa; Chordata; Mammalia; Primates; Cebidae. The record is from RNAcentral.
UCUAUUCACUAUUACAAAAACAGCAUGGGAAAAUUCCGCCUCUAUGAUUCAGUUACCUCCCACUUGGUCCCUCCCAAGACAUGUGGGGAUUAUUACAAUUCAUUGGGAAGAGCAGUGAUUUAUCUGUUUGACAUGUUGAAGAGUCUGAUAUUCAUCGAUCCAUAUUUUUCCAGUGGUCAGGAUUAACACACUAAACACUGUGCAACAAGAAUUGCCGCAGUCUUGAAGAUAUGAACCAAGACAAUUGUGAA